Molecule: ribosomal RNA, 484 nt
Filed under: uncultured bacterium
Lineage: Bacteria
Description: partial 16S ribosomal RNA
Rfam family: Bacterial small subunit ribosomal RNA
Source: RNAcentral
GACGAACGCUGGCGGCGCGCCUAACACAUGCAAGUCGAACGGAAUCAAGAGGAGCUUGCUUUUCUUGAUUUAGUGGCGAACGGGUGAGUAACGCGUGAGUAACCUGCCCUGGAGUGGGGGACAACAGUUGGAAACGACUGCUAAUACCGCAUAAGCCCACGGUACCGCAUGGUACUGAGGGAAAAGGAUUUAUUCACUUCAGGAUGGACUCGCGUCCAAUUAGCUAGUUGGUGAGGUAACGGCCCACCAAGGCGACGAUUGGUAGCCGGACUGAGAGGUUGAACGGCCACAUUGGGACUGAGACACGGCCCAGACUCCUACGGGAGGCAGCAGUGGGGGAUAUUGCACAAUGGGGGAAACCCUGAUGCAGCGACGCCGCGUGGAGGAAGAAGGUUUUCGGAUUGUAAACUCCUGUCGUUAGGGACGAUAAUGACGGUACCUAACAAGAAAGCACCGGCUAACUACGUGCCAGCAGCCGCCGUAA